CACCCAUCUCUCUAAGAUUUAUUAAUGCAGCAUCUAUAAAGCAUGUGAAGUAAAUGCUCCUUAUUCAUAACUCUGCAGUGUAUUGAAAUUAUAAUUAGUGCUGAGAAACUUAGUACUUAUUAUUAGUCAAUUGCUACCACAUAGAUCACUGACUUAAGAUUGUAUAUCCCCAGAACAAUGAGAAAGUUGGCUCCUGGAGAGUAAAUCAAUGCUAUAGCACAAAGUUAGGUCAUUUAACUAGAGAAAAUGAGGCAAAUUGAGUAGUUUUUUUUUUUCUUCUAUUAGUUAACCAAUAACAGUCAGAAAGAAAAAAAAAUAUCACUCAGUGACUCAGGGAGUCAAACUUACGUAUCCCCAACAUGUAGUCUAUUCCAGAAGCGAAACAUUGCCCAGAUUGGUAAAGGAUUCCUGCACGAAGGGUCAUUGUGUUCCUAGUGAUUUGCAAGUGUUUGUUUAACAGAUUGUCACUCUUUCUAUAUAAAUAUUUAAAACAACAAGAGUGACACAACCAAGUAUUUUGUUGAGCUUAGGAGAAAAAAAGAAUUUCAAAUUUGUUAAACACUUUUUAAAGAAAAUAAAGGAAGUACAUCAUACAUACUCAAAAUAUAUGAAUUUCUUACAUGUGAUCUCUGGAGAAUUUUUAGUAGACACUUAAUUCAAACAAAUUUGGUUGCAGACCCAUGUAUCUCCAGAAGCUCUAAACUGGAGAUAAGAGAGGCAGCAAGUGUAGCCUAAAAUUCCUUCAAAUCCUUGCACUAAUUGGCUUUUUAUCAUCAAUAGAUGCAAAUAGGUGUGCAGGGCGUGGAUGCUACCCUUGUGCAGAAGGAGUAAUGCCAACCAAAGCCUUCAACGGGAGCCUUCCUGAGGAUGCUGCAGAGAGAGCACCACAGGAUGACUGUGAUACAGGGAGCAAAUAGCAUCAGGGUAGAUGGGCAGGUGACAUUCAAGAUACAGUUCCAUUUUAUUUACAGAAAUUUUUUUGAAAACAAAUUCUCAGGAAGUACUGGAAAACCGGUACCUUGAAAAAUUACAAGAGGAGACUCAGGAGCAGCAAGACCAGAGCCAUAGGUUAGCAAUUUUUUCUUUUUCUUUUUUUUUGGUUUUGCAGCUGGCCUGGGGAGAAAAGGUUGGGCACCAAGAAGGUGAAUCUUUAUAGUACCAAAUAAAGAGCCAAGCCACGCCAUAGAGGAAAAAGAAUAAGCAUGUAUCUCUAAGUAAUGUUUAACACACAGUAGGAAAUGUCAGUGUUAUAAAGACAGUUUCUGUCUUCCAGCAUCUUCCAGGUCUCUGUAUUAGAGUUUCAGGGACACAACUAUGGAUGGCUGAAGAGGAAGUGUGACAACUUUGACACAGUGGGGAAGUAUUUAGUCACCGCAUUGUGAAUGCUAGGGUUACUGAGUACUGUACCUGUGGCUGAAGAGAAUCAACCCAGGGCCAAAAUACUUGAGGAAGUAGAGCAGUAUUCCUUGUUCAUUGAUACGUUUCCUAUUCCUCUUCAUUUCUGCCUCUGAUUCCUUUUGAUAUCUUUUUAAAUCAUUCCCUAUACAAAUCCUGUUGGUGAAAUAAAUCUUGAAUGGAGCCAAAAGUAUUGUGUACCUUUAAAAAUAUCCAUUUGUGGGAGACCAACCUUGCCUGUGACCGAGUCACUCCCCAGCUGGGUGAUGGAGGCUUCAGGCGGCAGAUGUCCCUAGAUGCCCCACCCUUCUUGGGUUCGAAGGACAGUGUCCUGCAUGGGUGUGUCUUGCUGUAGCCCCAAGGGUGGAGCUGUGCUCGCCUGUCCCUUUGUAAUAUCACCCCUUGCCCUGUUUGGGAUAGAAUGUUCCAUGGAAACACCUUUUGUGUGUCCCCUUAUCUUACUGUGCCCUUGGGUAUGGCCUACCUAAUGUCAGUCAACCUGCUGACAGCAGACAUCAUGAAGCUACACGCAGCCCCCUGAAACCUGACCCGUUGCCUCGUUUGAAUAGCUUCUCCUCAAUAAAAGAGGUCAGCGCGUGGGGGCUCGCGCUCUCUCUCUUGUCUGUCUCUCUUUCUGCAGACCCUUAAGGUCAGAGGAGCCAUCACAGCAACCUCGAAGAAAAAGGGUAGAUGCUGGACUUGAUGUGGUCAGAGACAAGAUCACUAGGCCCAUCUGGUGGAAGAGGUAGGUGUACCAAAUGCGAAGGGAGAAGUCUACCUGCGGUUUGCUGGACUGGCUCUGCAGGAUUCCAGAAGUGAUGUUUGGAGACACUGAGUGACUUGCCUAAGUCAUAGACCUAGAAUGUGGAAAGUUUCACUCCAGGGACCACAGUGUACAAAAGAAAUUUGUGCAUCUUAUGAAGUUUUUCUUGAUGAUGGAGAUAGUUUCUCCUAAGGUUGAAACUUCUCAAGAAGAACAGAAUGCUUUGGUGCCCUGUGAGAUCCUGGUUGAGAUCCUGGAGGUAAAACUCACGAUCCCCAUGGCACUGAGCUGUCCUGGAGUGCACACAUCUGCAGCAUUGAUUACACCAUGGUGCUGGGGCUCAGCGACCUCCUGGAGGACUUCUACCGGAAGGGUGCUUCAAGAAGCCAGCAGCACCCAGCAGGGAGAUGGACCACACAGGAGGAUGACCUGCUCAGAGACUCAUGCAGAGCCCUCCAGAGUCAAGGAUGCUGACCCAGAGAAAUAACUGCAGCAAGACCCAGGUACCCAGCCCUACAACAGCUGUAAAGACCCCGUCCCAGAACAAAAGAGAUCCCUGCGAAGAGCUUGAUCAGACCCUCAGUGGGUGUCUGGUGCUGAAGAUUCUCCCAGAAGGUCCCUGUCACUGUGAUUUGAUACCAGAUGCCACCUGAUAGACACACUGGCCCAAUGGAGCAGAGAAAGGGCUGCAAGGUGACCCCAGAAGAAAAGGGAGCCCAUGCGAGGCCCAGAUUCUGAGAACAAUAACUCCUUGGUGGCCCCAUCCCUGGAGGAAGAGAUGGAGUUGAGGGAAGCGCUGCAGGAAGACAGGGAACUGUGCUUGUCCCUUGGCUCCAGUGAUUUGCAGGAAAAUGCAGCUGAGCCCAGUUCUGAAGAUGGGUCCUGGACCAUCCAAAGAGUGAGUGAGCCAUGCCGCCUCCACCCGUCCCUGCUCCUGCUCUGUGUUUCCCUGGUGGCUGAGCUGGGCUGGCUGAGUCACCCUCACCACCACCAUGUGUCCCUCACCCCCUGACUUUCCCCUGCAGCCUUGCUGCACAGAGGUCCAGCUGGCCCCAGAAGUGCCACCACCUGGCUGCCCUCAGUGUCUGGUCCAUCCCCAGAGGUGCCUACUGGCUCCAGGCCCUGGGUCUCCACCUUCUUUUCACAGCUCUAGACCCGAUAUGUGUGUGCCUCAGGAGCUGUGGCUGGGCCAGGUGUGGGUCCUGCUCUCUCUGGGUCUCUGUAUUGAGGUGAGGGGCUGGGUGCUCCUCUGUUGUGCCACAGGACCCAUGUGUGGGUGCUCGCUGGCUGGCAGGUGCUCUUUCCCAGAGGUGAGGCCCAUUGGCCUCUGGGAGUUGUUAAACACCAGGGAACUAUUGCUUGGUCAGGGACCUUGCCGGAGCCCCCGGAGGCUUCUGGGAGGGAUCUCCCUGCAGGCGCUCAGGAGCACUAGGUGUGCUCCAGCUCACAGACACCCAGAUUGUGGCACCUGCUGCCAGGCUUCCUCCUGGCUCAGAGGGGAAGGUGGCUUUCUGUGCCUGGGCUGGGGCUGGCUUGUGAGGUUCCUUGCAGGGGGUGCUCUGUGGUCCAGAGUGUGGCAGUGACACGCUGGAGUUCUCUGGUCCAUGCAUGCAUGUGGGCGGGUGCUAUGCGUGGUGCAUGGGUGUGGGGUGUGUGUGUGUGUAGUGUCUGGUGUAUGUGGUGUGUGUGAAGUGAGUGUUGAUUUGUGUGUAUGUGUCAGGGUGCAGGACCUGUGGGGGGGAGUGGUGUGUGUUUGUGUGUAUGGUGUACGGUUGUGUCUUUCCCCUGGAGUAACCCCUUCCUCAGCAGGGAAGGCCACACAAACCUGGCCCUUGGGGGAUACUGAAGGCUUGGGUGAACCUUCAAGUGAGAGUCACCAUUGAGACACUCAGGGGGUGGUGAUUAAAAAUGCUGCAGUGCUCAGCAGGAUGAGGGUCUUUUUAAGCCUUCACAGAGUAAGUUGAAGAAUCUUUGUGUAAGAAAAAAAAGGAGCAAUAGCCAGGAAACCAUAGUUGUGCACAGUGGUGCACACUUGUAAUCACAGUGACCAGGAGGCCAAGGCAGGAGGAUCCAAAGUUCAAGGCCAGCCUCAGCAGCUCCGUGAGACCCUGUGGCAAAAGAGAGAGAGAGAGAGAGAGAGAGAGAGAGAGAGAAUAAAGAAAGGACUGAGGACAUGAGCCCUGUGUCUGAUUCCAACUUCACACCUUAAGAAACUAGGAAAAGGUAAAGCAACUAAAACCAAAGGCAAAGAAGGAAGGAAAUACUAACUAUUAGAAGAGAAAUAAGCAAAGGAGAUGGGGCUGGGGUUGCGGCUCAGUGGUAGACCGCUUGCCUAGCACGUGUGAGAUGCAGGGUUUGAUCCUUAGCACCACAUAAAAAAAUAAAUAAAAUAAAAUAAAGGUAUUUAAAAAAAGAAAUAAACAAAGGAGAGAAUAGAAAAGCACUAGAGAAAAAAAAAAAAAAACCAGUGAAUCAAAAGGUUGAUUCUUUGAAAAGACCAACAAAAUCCAUAAACUUUUAGACUCAUAAAAAAAAAGAUAACAUGUAAAGAACUCAAAAGGUCCAGGGUCCUGUUUUAUCUCUUCGUGGAAGCUAGAGAGGAAAAAGGGAAAGUAAGGUGGGGGCAGACCUCAGGCAAUUGAAGGGAAAUCAGUGGAAGAAAAGGAGGUGGGGGUG
Marmota monax (woodchuck) is the source of this 4834-nucleotide long non-coding RNA. RefSeq lists it as uncharacterized. The transcript has 7 exons. The record is from RefSeq and is a predicted model, not a curated record. Lineage: Eukaryota; Metazoa; Chordata; Mammalia; Rodentia; Sciuridae.